This 406-nucleotide ribosomal RNA is filed under the name uncultured bacterium. Its description in RNAcentral is "partial 16S ribosomal RNA". It matches the Rfam family "Bacterial small subunit ribosomal RNA", at positions 30 to 526 of the family's 1533-position model. The record is from RNAcentral.
AUUGAACGCUGGCGGCAGGCCUAACACAUGCAAGUCGAACGAGUGGCGGACGGGUGUGAAAUGUCUGUGAAACUGCCUGAUGGUGGGGGAUAACUACUGGAAACGGUAGCUAAUACCGCAUACCAUCGGAUGUGCCCAGAUGGGAUUAGCUAGUAGGUGGGGUAAAGGCUCACCUAGGCGACGCGCCCUAGCUGGUCUGAGAGGAUGACCAGCCACACUGGAACUGAGACACGGUCCAGACUCCUACGGGAGGGAGCAGUGGGGAAUAUUGCACAAGGGGCGAAAGCCGGAUGCAGCCAUGCCGCGUGUAUGAAGAAGGCCUUCGGGUUGUAAAGUACUUUCAGCGGGGAGGCGUUACCCGCAGAAGAAGCACCGGCUAACUCCGUGCCAGCAGCCGCGGUAAUAC